Molecule: ribosomal RNA, 253 nt
Filed under: uncultured bacterium
Lineage: Bacteria
Description: partial 16S ribosomal RNA
Rfam family: Bacterial small subunit ribosomal RNA
Source: RNAcentral
UACGUAGGGGGCUAGCGUUGUCCGGAAUCAUUGGGCGUAAAGCGCGUGUAGGCGGUCCGGUAAGUCCGCUGUGAAAGUCGGGGGCUCAACCCUCGAAUGCCGGUGGAUACUGUCGGGCUAGAGUACGGCAGAGGCGAGUGGAAUUCCAGGUGUAGCGGUGAAAUGCGUAGAUAUCUGGAGGAACACCGGUGGCGAAGGCGGCAUCCUGGACCAAUUCUGACACUGAGGAGCGAAAGCCAGGGGAGCAAACGGG